Puntigrus tetrazona (Sumatra barb) is the source of this 81-nucleotide small nucleolar RNA. RefSeq annotates it as small nucleolar RNA SNORD74. The record is from RefSeq and is a predicted model, not a curated record. The transcript has a single exon. Lineage: Eukaryota; Metazoa; Chordata; Actinopteri; Cypriniformes; Cyprinidae.
AUUCGCAUACGUGAUGAUACUUGAUGUUGGUAGGGACAUCUGAGAAUAUUUGAUGAGCAUCAACAUCUCUGAUAUGCGUAA